This 230-nucleotide ribosomal RNA is filed under the name uncultured bacterium. RNAcentral describes it as "partial 16S ribosomal RNA". It matches the Rfam family "Bacterial small subunit ribosomal RNA", at positions 562 to 791 of the family's 1533-position model. The record is from RNAcentral.
AAAGGGUGCGUAGGCGGUUUAUUAAGUCAGUGGUGAAAGACGGUCGCUCAACGAUUGCAGUGCCAUUGAUACUGGUAGACUUGAGUGGGAUUGAGGUAGCUGGAAUGGAUAGUGUAGCGGUGAAAUGCAUAGAUAUUAUCCAGAACACCAAUUGCGUAGGCAAGUUACUAAGUCUCAACUGACGCUGAGGCACGAAAGUGUGGGUAUCAAACAGGAUUAGAUAUCCCUGU